RNAcentral lists this ribosomal RNA (433 nucleotides) under uncultured bacterium. RNAcentral's name for it is "partial 16S ribosomal RNA". It matches the Rfam family "Bacterial small subunit ribosomal RNA", at positions 29 to 507 of the family's 1533-position model. The record is from RNAcentral.
AACGAACGCUGGCGGCAUGCCUAACACAUGCAAGUCGAACGAGACCUUCGGGUCUAGUGGCGCACGGGUGCGUAACGCGUGGGAACCUGCCCUUAGGUUCGGAAUAACUCCCCGAAAGGGGUGCUAAUACCGGAUAAUGUCUUCGGACCAAAGAUUUAUCGCCUUUGGAUGGGCCCGCGUUGGAUUAGCUAGUUGGUAGGGUAAAAGCCUACCAAGGCGACGAUCCAUAGCUGGUCUGAGAGGAUGAUCAGCCACACUGGGACUGAGACACGGCCCAGACUCCUACGGGAGGCAGCAGUGGGGAACAUUGGACAAUGGGCGAAAGCCUGAUCCAGCAAUGCCGCGUGAGUGAUGAAGGCCUUAGGGUUGUAAAGCUCUUUUACCCGGGAUGAUAAUGACAGUACCAGGAGAAUAAGCUCCGGCUAACUCCGUG